This 891-nucleotide ribosomal RNA is filed under the name uncultured bacterium. RNAcentral's name for it is "bacterial SSU rRNA". It matches the Rfam family "Bacterial small subunit ribosomal RNA", at positions 59 to 956 of the family's 1533-position model. The record is from RNAcentral.
CAGUCGAGGGGUAUAGGUUUUCGGACCUAGAGACCGGCGCACGGGUGCGUAACGCGUAUGCAAUCUACCUUUUACAGAGGGAUAGCCCAGAGAAAUUUGGAUUAAUACCUCAUGGUAUUAUUGAAUGGCAUCAUUUAAUAAUUAAAGUCACAACGGUAAAAGAUGAGCAUGCGUCCCAUUAGCUUGUUGGUAAGGUAACGGCUUACCAAGGCAACGAUGGGUAGGGGUCCUGAGAGGGAGAUCCCCCACACUGGUACUGAGACACGGACCAGACUCCUACGGGAGGCAGCAGUGAGGAAUAUUGGUCAAUGGGCGCAAGCCUGAACCAGCCAUGCCGCGUGCAGGAUGAAGCAUCUAUGGUGUGUAAACUGCUUUUGUACGAGAAGAAACACUCCUACGUGUAGGAGCUUGACGGUAUCGUAAGAAUAAGGACCGGCUAACUCCGUGCCAGCAGCCGCGGUAAUACGGAGGGUCCAAGCGUUAUCCGGAAUCAUUGGGUUUAAAGGGUCCGUAGGCGGUUUUGUAAGUCAGUGGUGAAAGCCCAUCGCUCAACGGUGGAACGGCCAUUGAUACUGCAAGACUUGAAUUAUUGGGAAGUAACUAGAAUAUGUAGUGUAGCGGUGAAAUGCUUAGAGAUUACAUGGAAUACCAAUUGCGAAGGCAGGUUACUACCAAUAUAUUGACGCUGAUGGACGAAAGCGUGGGGAGCGAACAGGAUUAGAUACCCUGGUAGUCCACGCCGUANACGAUGGAUACUAGCUGUUCGGAGCAAUCUGAGUGGCUAAGCGAAAGUGAUAAGUAUCCCACCUGGGGAGUACGUUCGCAAGAAUGAAACUCAAAGGAAUUGACGGGGGCCCGCACAAAGCGUGGAGCAUGUGGUUUAAUUCGAUG